Poecilia latipinna (sailfin molly) is the source of this 192-nucleotide long non-coding RNA. RefSeq lists it as uncharacterized. The record is from RefSeq and is a predicted model, not a curated record. The transcript is spliced from 2 exons. NCBI's taxonomy places the organism in Eukaryota, Metazoa, Chordata, Actinopteri, Cyprinodontiformes, Poeciliidae.
GGCUUCAAGUAAAGCUCCAGACCUCACAGCCUGCCUGCUCUGGCUGGCUGUUUCCACCUUUCCUCCUCGGACUCACCAGGCACCAAGCUCCCCCUUCUGGUUCACCUGGUCAAAAACCUGAGUUUUUCCACCACCUCCUGGUUUCCACAAACACCUUCCAUCUCUUUUGUAAAUAAAUCACAACAAACUGUG